Molecule: ribosomal RNA, 373 nt
Filed under: uncultured organism
Description: partial 16S ribosomal RNA
Rfam family: Bacterial small subunit ribosomal RNA
Source: RNAcentral
GUAGGUGGCAAGCGUUGUCCGGAAUUAUUGGGCGUAAAGCGCGCGCAGGCGGUCCUUUAAGUCUGAUGUGAAAGCCCACGGCUCAACCGUGGAGGGUCAUUGGAAACUGGGGGACUUGAGUACAGAAGAGGAAAGCGGAAUUCCACGUGUAGCGGUGAAAUGCGUAGAGAUGUGGAGGAACACCAGUGGCGAAGGCGGCUUUCUGGUCUGUAACUGACGCUGAGGCGCGAAAGCGUGGGGAGCAAACAGGGAUUAGAUACCCUGGUAGUCCACGCCGUAAACGAUGAGUGCUAAGUGUUAGGGGGUUUCCGCCCCCUUAGUGCUGCAGCUAACGCAUUAAGCACUCCGCCUGGGGAGUACGGCCGCAGGGCUG